Molecule: transfer RNA, 73 nt
Filed under: Actinomycetes bacterium
Lineage: Bacteria; Bacillati; Actinomycetota; Actinomycetes
Also listed under: 4 other names
Description: Actinobacteria bacterium (rhizosphere metagenome) tRNA-Gly
Rfam family: tRNA
About the family: Transfer RNA (tRNA) molecules are approximately 80 nucleotides in length. Their secondary structure includes four short double-helical elements and three loops (D, anti-codon, and T loops). Further hydrogen bonds mediate the characteristic L-shaped molecular structure. tRNAs have two regions of fundamental functional importance: the anti-codon, which is responsible for specific mRNA codon recognition, and the 3' end, to which the tRNAs corresponding amino acid is attached (by aminoacyl-tRNA synthetases). tRNAs cope with the degeneracy of the genetic code in two manners: having more than one tRNA (with a specific anti-codon) for a particular amino acid; and 'wobble' base-pairing, i.e. permitting non-standard base-pairing at the 3rd anti-codon position.
Source: RNAcentral
GCGGACGUGGCUCAGUUGGUAGAGCACAACCUUGCCAAGGUUGGGGUCGCGGGUUCGAGUCCCGUCGUCCGCU